UACGAAGGGGGCUAGCGUUGCUCGGAAUCACUGGGCGUAAAGCGCACGUAGGCGGACUCUUAAGUCGGUGGUGAAAUCCUGGAGCUCAACUCCAGAACUGCCUUCGAUACUGAGAGUCUCGAGUCAGGGAGAGGUGAGUGGAACUGCGAGUGUAGAGGUGAAAUUCGUAGAUAUUCGCAAGAACACCAGUGGCGAAGGCGGCUCACUGGCCCGGUACUGACGCUGAGGUGCGAAAGCGUGGGGAGCAAACAGG
Molecule: ribosomal RNA, 253 nt
Filed under: uncultured bacterium
Lineage: Bacteria
Description: partial 16S ribosomal RNA
Rfam family: Bacterial small subunit ribosomal RNA
Source: RNAcentral